This 250-nucleotide ribosomal RNA is filed under the name uncultured bacterium. Its description in RNAcentral is "partial 16S ribosomal RNA". It matches the Rfam family "Bacterial small subunit ribosomal RNA", at positions 83 to 334 of the family's 1533-position model. The record is from RNAcentral.
CUGGCGGGGAGAGUGGCGCACGGGUGAGUAACACAUGGCUGACCUGCCCCUCAGCGGGGGACAACCACUAGAAAUGGUGGCUAAUACCCCAUAUGCUCACGAUGUUUAGAAGGUUGUGAGGAAACUUCCGGGGCUGAGGGAGGGGGCUGUGGCCCAUCAGCUAGUUGGUGUGGUAACGGCGCACCAAGGCGAGGACGGGUAGGGGGCCUGAGAGGGUGACCCCCCACACGGGUACUGAGACACGGACCCG